RNAcentral lists this ribosomal RNA (451 nucleotides) under uncultured Gammaproteobacteria bacterium. RNAcentral's name for it is "bacterial SSU rRNA". It matches the Rfam family "Bacterial small subunit ribosomal RNA", at positions 1077 to 1533 of the family's 1533-position model. Lineage: Bacteria; Pseudomonadati; Pseudomonadota; Gammaproteobacteria. The record is from RNAcentral.
UGGGUAGUCCGCACGAGCGCACCUUGUCAUUAGUUGCUACAUUCAGUUGAGCACUCUAAUGAGACUGCCGGUGACAAACCGGAGGAAGGUGGGGAUGACGUCAAGUCCUCAUGGCCCUUAUAGGUGGGGCUACACACGUCAUACAAUGGCUGGUACAGAGGGUUGCCAACCCGCGAGGGGGAGCUAAUCCCAUAAAACCAGUCGUAGUCCGGAUCGCAGUCUGCAACUCGACUGCGUGAAGUCGGAAUCGCUAGUAAUCGCGGAUCAGCAUGCCGCGGUGAAUACGUUCCCGGGUCUUGUACACACCGCCCGUCACACCAUGGGAGCGGGUCUCGCCAGAAGUAGGUAGCCUAACCGCAAGGAGGGCGCUUACCACGGCGGGGUUCGUGACUGGGGUGAAGUCGUAACAAGGUAGCCGUAUCGGAAGGUGCGGCUGGAUCACCUCCUUUCU